UCCGGUUUGAACUCAGAUCAMGUAAAAUUAUAAAGGUUGAACAAACCYGCUUAAAUAGCCGCUGCCCCAUAAAGCUCUUUUAAUUCAACAUCGAGGUCGCAAUCAAUUUUACUAAUAAGAUCUUUCUAAAAUUAUAACGCUGUUAUCCCUAAAGUAAUUUAUUCUAUUUGUCCUAAUCUUAAGGACCAAAAACCAAAAAGUCCUUUAAAACACUAGUUUUAUUAAACAAGCUACCCCAGCUAAUUCCUUGUCCGACCUUAACCCCAAAUAAUUCACCUAAAUAAAACUUUUAGGGUCUUAUCGUCCCUCAAUAUAACUAAAGUAUUUUUACUUUAAAUACAAGUUACUAAAUCAACUAAAAGACAAUCCUCUUUGUUUAACCUUUCAUUCCAGCUCUCAAUUAAAAAACAAAUGAUUAUGCUACCUUAGCACAGUCAAAAUACCGCAGCCGUUUAAAAUCUCACUGGGCAGGCCUUACCUUAAUACACUUAAAAAAAUGUUUUUGUUAAACAGGCG
This 516-nucleotide ribosomal RNA is filed under the name Scopelocheirus schellenbergi. RNAcentral describes it as "partial 16S ribosomal RNA". The record is from RNAcentral. Lineage: Eukaryota; Metazoa; Arthropoda; Malacostraca; Amphipoda; Lysianassidae.